AGGCCGUCCUGUAGCCGGGCCGGCUUGGGGCUUGGUUCUAUGUCCCUGCGGGUCGGUGCAAGGGCGAAGAGGAACCCGUGGGCCUCAGGGGAUCCCGGGGGGCCGGACCAGUGUUCCCUAGUUGUGGGAGCAGACGCGUGGGCACAUUGCGGGCGGGCAGGGCCUGAAGUGCAGGUGCGGGCAGUGGACCCUGGCGGGGGCUGGGAGGACAGGCGUGGGGUCCCGGCAGUGAAACGGGUUCUAGAGGCGCAGGAGCAGGUAGGAGAGGCCGGUGGCCCUGGGCCCGGAGUCUGCAGGCCGCGCUCCUGUCCUGCCGCUGAGGGACCCGGUUACCAACCUGCAUGACGCUCAGUUUGCCCAUCUGUCCCAGUGGUAACACACAGUUCUCGGGAGACGUUCCCCAUUCCCAGAGGAGUAGUGUGAAACGCGUGCGCCUCUAGUCUUAAACUUGGCGUUUGUAUUAGUUGGGUUUCCUGGUGUCUCUUUAGCAAGUGAAGUUUCUGGUUCCCUCCUUCACUGUGUGACCUGCCUAGUCCUCCUGGGUCGCAUUUACAGAAGUUUAUACGAGACCUAGUUUCCAGGGAAGAACUCACUGAUUCCGCGAGGGAGAUGGCUUAAUGGAUGAUGGUCGUCAGCCUUAAGGAUACUUCAGUCUUAACUGUGUGUUACAAAGUUUGAAAGGGAGGGUUCCCUAUGAAUAAGAAGCACACUUGAAAGAACAGCCAUCUGGUCUAACCUCUCACUGGUGCUUCAGAGGAGGAAAAAAGGUCACAGCUAUGUUUCCAGUGUCCUCUGGGUGUUUCCAAGAGCAACAAGAAAUGAAUAAAUCUCUGCCACCCUCCAGGGUGCC
This 850-nucleotide long non-coding RNA is filed under the name Homo sapiens (human). Its description in RNAcentral is "HSALNT0402777". Lineage: Eukaryota; Metazoa; Chordata; Mammalia; Primates; Hominidae. The record is from RNAcentral.